This 401-nucleotide ribosomal RNA is filed under the name uncultured bacterium. RNAcentral's name for it is "bacterial SSU rRNA". It matches the Rfam family "Bacterial small subunit ribosomal RNA", at positions 357 to 773 of the family's 1533-position model. The record is from RNAcentral.
GGGAAUCUUGCGCAAUGGGCGAAAGCCUGACGCAGCAACGCCGCGUGCGGGAAGAAGGGCUUCGGCCCGUAAACCGCUUUUCUGCGGGAAGAGUAAGGACGGUACCGCAGGAAUACGUCUCGGCUAACUACGUGCCAGCAGCCGCGGUAAAACGUAGGAGGCAAACGUUAUCCGGAUUUACUGGGCGUAAAGCGCGUGCAGGUGGUCUGUUAAGUCGUGCGUGAAAGCUCCCUGGCUCAACCGGGAGAGGUCGUGCGAUACUGACAGACUGGAGACAGAGAGAGGCAAGUGGAAUUCCGGGUGUAGUGGUGAAAUGCGUAGAUAUCCGGAGGAACACCAGUGGCGAAGGCGGCUUGCUGGCUCUGUUCUGACACUCAGACGCGAAAGCAUGGGGAGCGAAC